This 497-nucleotide ribosomal RNA is filed under the name uncultured bacterium. Its description in RNAcentral is "partial 16S ribosomal RNA". It matches the Rfam family "Bacterial small subunit ribosomal RNA", at positions 28 to 507 of the family's 1533-position model. The record is from RNAcentral.
GAUGAACGCUGGCGGCGUGCCUAAUACAUGCAAGUCGAGCGAACGGACGAGAAGCUUGCUUCUCUGAUGUUAGCGGCGGACGGGUGAGUAACACGUGGAUAACCUACCUAUAAGACUGGGAUAACUUCGGGAAACCGGAGCUAAUACCGGAUGAUAUUUUGAACCGCAUGGUUCAAAAGUGAAAGACGGUCUUGCUGUCACUUAUAGAUGGAUCCGCGCUGCAUUAGCUAGUUGGUAAGGUAACGGCUUACCAAGGUAACGAUGGAAAGCCGACCCCAGAGGGUCGUCGGCUACCCGGUAACUGAGCCACGUCCCCGACUCCUACGCUAGGAAGCAGCACGGACUCCUACGCGAUGCGCGAAAGCCUGACAGAGCAACGCCGCCUGAGGGCUGAUGGUCUUCGGAUCCUAAAACUCUGUUAUUCGGGGAGUAGAAAUGUGCAUGUACCUGUGCUCAUCAUGACGGUACCUAAUCAGAAAGCCCCGGCUAACUACGUG